RNAcentral lists this ribosomal RNA (490 nucleotides) under uncultured bacterium. RNAcentral describes it as "partial 16S ribosomal RNA". It matches the Rfam family "Bacterial small subunit ribosomal RNA", at positions 30 to 507 of the family's 1533-position model. The record is from RNAcentral.
AUUGAACGCUGGCGGCAGGCCUAACACAUGCGAGUCGAACGGUAACAGGAAGAAGCUUGCUUCUUUGCUGACGAGUGGCGGACGGGUGAGUAAUGUCUGGGAAACUGCCUGAUGGAGGGGGAUAACUACUGGAAACGGUAGCUAAUACCGCAUAAUGUCGCAAGACCAAAGAGGGGGACCUUCGGGCCUCUUGCCAUCGGAUGUGCCCAGAUGGGAUUAGCUAGUAGGUGGGGUAACGGCUCACCUAGGCGACGAUCCCUAGCUGGUCUGAGAGGAUGACCAGCCACACUGGAACUGAGACACGGUCCAGACUCCUACGGGAGGCAGCAGUGGGGAAUAUUGCACAAUGGGCGCAAGCCUGAUGCAGCUAUGCCGCGUGUAUGAAGAAGGCCUUCGGGUUGUAAAGUACUUUCAGCGGGGAGGAAGGGAGUAAAGUUAAUACCUUUGCUCAUUGACGUUACCCGCAGAAGAAGCACCGGCUAACUCCGUG